GCAGAAAGUGAUGAAUCAGAGGCUGAAGUGAAGUUACAAAGUUAUACUCCUAUGCAAAGGAAGACUUGGCCUGUGACCAGCCUGAUUGACUGCAGGAGGGGACCAGUCAGAGUAUCUUACAGAGCAAGACUGCAGAUCAAGAUUUUCCAACGUGGUGCUGACUUUUUUGAGAACAGUUAAUGAGAACUAGGAAAGUCCUUGCAGACCAUCCAGUCCAGCGGCUUUCAAAUGGAAAAUGUGAAAGGACAACAGAAUCACAUGGAUUCUUUUCUGAACUGCUUUUUUCCAGUGAUGCCAUAUUCUAUAAGACUUCAUGUGAAGGUGUGGAGGACGGGUAAUGUCUGAAUCUUCCAGGCAAUGAGAGGGAUGGUGUGAGUCUGGAAAUUCUUUGUGAUGGUCUGAGACUCCCCUUACUCCAGUUAAGAACACUGACUUAAUUCGAUCUGGUUUUUUUUAACAAAUGGCCUCUGAGACGUAGAGCAGUGAGGAUAAGGACUCUUACCCGGUUACAGAGUGGAGUAAGGGCUAGAACUCAACUCUUAAAAAUUUCAAAUGCAAUGUUCUUUCUACAAUAUUGUGCCUACUUCUUCACUUCUGCUUAUAGGCAACUUCCUUUUCCUUUAAUUCUCUAAUAUUUGGAGGGCACGUCACAACUUAUACACUUGCUCUAUAUGUUUUACAUUGCUUCUCAUGGUUUCUCAUGCAUAAGUAUAGUAUUUUCUUAUAUUUUAAAUUUUCUAAGAACAGGUAACCUAUUUUAAACUCCCCUUGCAAUUAUGCAGGUAACUAACACAUUGAUGAUAAGCUAAUAUUAAGAGAGCAAAAUAGUUGAUGAUUAGUUUAUUAGUAUCUCAAAAUAAUCCAUUUGAUGUGCUAAGGUGCUAUUAGUUACAACAUUUCAAGUAUACAUGCAAUUCUUGUUAGAAAUAUUAUCCACCUUUUGAAAUACAUGUUGAUUAAAGACUAACAUGGGCUGUGGGCAUAGGUACAGUAACAGCAUACCAUAGGCCGGAGAAAGAGUUGACUUUGGAGGUCCAAGAUCAAGAAGCAGGAUGUCUAACAGGGCUCUUGAGAAUUCUAGGGCAGCCGGUACUCGAAAGGCAAGAUUUGAUUGUGAAUGAUUUCAUGCAACUCCGUUGGUUAAUAAGCAAAUCCUGCCCACACUUGUGGAUAACAUGGAAGCUACCUGAGCAGGUAAAGGCUAAGACAGAAGAUCCAUGAACAGAACUGGAGUUUUGAUAAUUCACCAGGAACUUGGUUACUUUGUUGUACCUUUUAUGCUUUUAUAUUUCUUCUUCCCUUUCAUUUCCAUGCAAUGUAUUUAUAACUUGUAGCUAGAUUUUUAGAUUACUGCCAGACAAAUUCAGUCAAUUUAAUUAAUUAGGCAAAUUAAAGUGAAAAUUAUGUUUUAGGGGCUGUUAAAAUUUAUAAGACAUUAGCACAUUCUUCUCAUGUGCUUUUAUUAUUAUUACAAAUGUUGUUUCAUAAUUAGCCAUGUGUUAAUUGUUAGCUUGGGGAAUGAUUUACGUGUUUAAAAUUGGGAGAAAUCAUUUUGGCUAUGGCUACCUCUUUUAAUUUACUUACAUAUUUUUUUCCCAUCACACAGUGUUUGACUUUUACAACCACAUACAUUUUGAUUAGAACCUGAAAUAAUUCAGUAAAACAAGAUGAUGGUUUUUUGUUCUGCUCAAUCUUUGUAUCAUAACCUUCACUUCUCAAUGCUCAAAUGAUGGAAUGAAAAGUGGACAAUUCUUGACUGCA
Molecule: long non-coding RNA, 1761 nt
Filed under: Homo sapiens (human)
Lineage: Eukaryota; Metazoa; Chordata; Mammalia; Primates; Hominidae
Description: uncharacterized LOC105375523, transcript variant 1 (LOC105375523)
Source: RNAcentral